GUACUCACUUCAGCAGCACACACACUAAAAUUGGAACAAUACGGAGAAGACUAGAUGACCCCUGCACAAGGAUGACAUGCAAGUUUGUGAAGCAUUCUAUAUUUAG
Cynocephalus volans (Philippine flying lemur) is the source of this 106-nucleotide small nuclear RNA. The record is from RefSeq and is a predicted model, not a curated record. Lineage: Eukaryota; Metazoa; Chordata; Mammalia; Dermoptera; Cynocephalidae.